Molecule: ribosomal RNA, 427 nt
Filed under: uncultured bacterium
Lineage: Bacteria
Description: partial 16S ribosomal RNA
Rfam family: Bacterial small subunit ribosomal RNA
Source: RNAcentral
UGGGGAAUAUUGCACAAUGGGCGCAAGCCUGAUGCAGCCAUGCCGCGUGUAUGAAGAAGGCCUUCGGGUUGUAAAGUACUUUCAGCGAGGAGGAAGGCGUUGUGGUUAAUAACCGCAACGAUUGACGUUACUCGCAGAAGAAGCACCGGCUAACUCCGUGCCAGCAGCCGCGGUAAUACGGAGGGUGCAAGCGUUAAUCGGAAUUACUGGGCGUAAAGCGCACGCAGGCGGUCUGUCAAGUCGGAUGUGAAAUCCCCGGGCUCAACCUGGGAACUGCAUCCGAAACUGGCAGGCUAGAGUCUUGUAGAGGGGGGUAGAAUUCCAGGUGUAGCGGUGAAAUGCGUAGAGAUCUGGAGGAAUACCGGUGGCGAAGGCGGCCCCCUGAACAAAGACUGACGCUCAGGUGCGAAAGCGUGGGGAGCAAACA